RNAcentral lists this ribosomal RNA (252 nucleotides) under uncultured bacterium. RNAcentral's name for it is "partial 16S ribosomal RNA". It matches the Rfam family "Bacterial small subunit ribosomal RNA", at positions 524 to 776 of the family's 1533-position model. The record is from RNAcentral.
UACGUAGGGUGCGAGCGUUGUCCGGAAUUAUUGGGCGUAAAGAGCUCGUAGGCGGCUCGUCGCGUCGGCUGUGAAAACCUGGGGCUCAACCCCGGGCCUGCAGCCGAUACGGGCGAGCUAGAAUUCGGUAGGGGAGACUGGAAUUCCUGGUGUAGCAGUGAAAUGCGUAGAUAUCAAGCGGAACACCAGUGGCGAAGGCGAGUCCCUGGACAACUCCUGACACUGAGGCACGAAAGCUAGGGAGCAAACAGG